This is a non-coding RNA of Procambarus clarkii (red swamp crayfish), 550 nucleotides long. The record is from RefSeq and is a predicted model, not a curated record. Lineage: Eukaryota; Metazoa; Arthropoda; Malacostraca; Decapoda; Cambaridae.
AUCCUCCCCGGCCAGGAUACGAACCCCUGACAUAGCGCUCGCGGAACGCCAGGCGAGUGUCUUACCACUACACCACGGAGACUUUAAUUCUUUAAUAUACUGAAUUCUUAUUAUGUAAGGUUAUGUCUUAUAAUCUUUAUUUUGUUGUAUAUUAAAUUAGAAGUUCAUGAGUGAGUUAUGUUUGUAAAUGAACUAGAGAGAUUUGAAAGAGAGGGGUCAGUUGACUCAUUGAAGUUGGAUACAGUGUCACGCCCCAGCCAGGCUGGCUGAAGGCCCCACUACUCCUUGACUUUCCCAGACGAGCGCAUGUGUGGCGUUCUGCUCCGAGAUUUGGGACCUUAUUUAGAGUUAAUCAAGAGAAAAUUUCCGGCCAAAAUGUUUCCGUGGUUCGAUCCAUAGCCCUUCAUAUGUGGUCCUAAAGAUUUACAGCUGUGCUUUGGGACGACCUUGAAUCAACGCCGCUCAGAGAUCCUUCUUGAGGUUAUCUUGAGAUGAUUUCGGGGUUUUAGUGUCCCUGCGGCCCAGUCCUCGACCAGGCCUCCACCCCCAG